GAGUUGCUACCUCAGUGGUAGGGUGCAUGCUUUGUAUGUAUGAUGUCCUGGGUUCAACUCACAGCUAACUAU
Molecule: non-coding RNA, 72 nt
Organism: Dallia pectoralis (Alaska blackfish)
Lineage: Eukaryota; Metazoa; Chordata; Actinopteri; Esociformes; Umbridae
Source: the annotation of a GenBank genome assembly